AUGCGGAGGGUGCAAGCGUUACUCGGAAUCACUGGGCGUAAAGCGCGCGCAGGCGGUCUUUUAAGUUGGAUGUGAAAGCCUACGGCUCAACCGUAGAACUGCAUCCAAAACUAUUAGACUAGAGUGUGGGAGAGGAAGAUGGAAUUAGUUGUGUAGGGGUAAAAUCCGUAGAGAUAACUAGGAAUACCAAAAGCGAAGGCAAUCUUCUGGAACACUACUGACGCUGAGGCGCGAAAGCGUGGGGAGCAAACAGGAUUAGAUACCCCAGUAGUCC
This 274-nucleotide ribosomal RNA is filed under the name uncultured bacterium. RNAcentral's name for it is "partial 16S ribosomal RNA". It matches the Rfam family "Bacterial small subunit ribosomal RNA", at positions 523 to 796 of the family's 1533-position model. The record is from RNAcentral.